RNAcentral lists this ribosomal RNA (592 nucleotides) under Escherichia coli. Its description in RNAcentral is "partial 23S ribosomal RNA". It matches the Rfam family "Bacterial large subunit ribosomal RNA", at positions 604 to 1197 of the family's 2925-position model. Lineage: Bacteria; Pseudomonadati; Pseudomonadota; Gammaproteobacteria; Enterobacterales; Enterobacteriaceae. The record is from RNAcentral.
CCUUUUGUAUAAUGGGUCAGCGACUUAUAUUCUGUAGCAAGGUUAACCGAAUAGGGGAGCCGAAGGGAAACCGAGUCUUAACUGGGCGUUAAGUUGCAGGGUAUAGACCCGAAACCCGGUGAUCUAGCCAUGGGCAGGUUGAAGGUUGGGUAACACUAACUGGAGGACCGAACCGACUAAUGUUGAAAAAUUAGCGGAUGACUUGUGGCUGGGGGUGAAAGGCCAAUCAAACCGGGAGAUAGCUGGUUCUCCCCGAAAGCUAUUUAGGUAGCGCCUCGUGAAUUCAUCUCCGGGGGUAGAGCACUGUUUCGGCAAGGGGGUCAUCCCGACUUACCAACCCGAUGCAAACUGCGAAUACCGGAGAAUGUUAUCACGGGAGACACACGGCGGGUGCUAACGUCCGUCGUGAAGAGGGAAACAACCCAGACCGCCAGCUAAGGUCCCAAAGUCAUGGUUAAGUGGGAAACGAUGUGGGAAGGCCCAGACAGCCAGGAUGUUGGCUUAGAAGCAGCCAUCAUUUAAAGAAAGCGUAAUAGCUCACUGGUCGAGUCGGCCUGCGCGGAAGAUGUAACGGGGCUAAACCAUGCACCGA